AGUUCACACAAGCAUUGUGGACUCAGGAAGCCCAGCUUUUAACCUGCUUCUGAUGGCUGUGUGAACCAGCCCUUUGCCUGUCAUCCCGCAGCAGCCAAAUAUAGUGGGUAGAGGUGGAGUCAGAUGCAAAAACAAUGACUCAGAGAGUGGAGCGAUUACCGACAGCGUCGUGCAAGAGAACUGCAUAGACAGAAAAACAAAAACAUCACACGAUCCUCUCGGACACAAGGGAGCAUUUUUCUGAAUCAGCAGCAUCGACUGCUUUUUGGCAUGCGAGACAAAAAUCGGAGAGCCAGCAAAAUGUGACCUGCAUUUGGAGGAAGUCUAUCAAGCGGAGUGAUCCCCAGAAGGCGUUCUAAUGGUGCACAACUAAAGACUGAAGCAGCCAUCUUGAUUACCCAUAUGCCCCAAGACGUGGCAGCGCCACAGCACAGUGUAUGGCUUCCCAGAAUGCCUCUGCAAGGCCAGCUUUCUUCUUUCAAAGCCCACCUUCUCUGCAAAGCUUUGGCUUAACCUCACCCGCCUCCAGCCUUCUUUCCCUAUUCUAGACUCUCUUUCAACUGCAAUAGAGUCUGCAACAUGUGACUUCAUUUGCUCAGGGUGCUGAGCAAGGCGUGAAAGGAACCUCA
Long non-coding RNA from Hemicordylus capensis (graceful crag lizard), 629 nucleotides. RefSeq lists it as uncharacterized. The transcript has 4 exons. The record is from RefSeq and is a predicted model, not a curated record. Lineage: Eukaryota; Metazoa; Chordata; Lepidosauria; Squamata; Cordylidae.